This 798-nucleotide ribosomal RNA is filed under the name Triticum aestivum (bread wheat). RNAcentral describes it as "partial small subunit ribosomal RNA". Lineage: Eukaryota; Viridiplantae; Streptophyta; Magnoliopsida; Poales; Poaceae. The record is from RNAcentral.
AUGAUUCUUCGUUCAUUAUCAUGUCGAUUCCUCAAAAUCGCUCUUUGUGAUGCUGCGGAACCAUGGAAAUUAGGAUCUCAAGACCCAGCAACACCUAUGAUGCAAGGAAUCAUUGACUUACAUCACGAUAUCUUUUUCUUCCUCAUUCUUAUUUUGGUUUUCGUAUCACGGAUGUUGGUUUGCGCUUUAUGGCAUUUCCAUGAGCAAACUAAUCCAAUCCCAAAAAGGAUUGUUCAUGGAACUACUAUUGAAAUUAUUCGGACCAUAUUUCCAAGUGUCAUUCUUUUGUUCAUUGCUAUACCAUCAUUUGCUCUGUUAUACUCAAUGGACGAGGUAUUAGUAGAUCCAGCCAUUACUAUCAAAGCUAUUGGACAUCAAUGGUAUCGGAUCAAGUUUGGGGGGAGGCGGGCGUCGACCCAACCUUAUGAGUAUUCGGACUAUAACAGUUCUGAUGAACAGUCACUCACUUUUGACAGUUAUACGAUUCCAGAAGAUGAUCCAGAAUUGGGUCAAUCACUUUUAUUAGAAGUUGACAAUAGAUUGGUUGUACCAGCCAAAACUCAUCUAUGUAUGAUUGUAACACCCGCUGAUGUACCUCAUAGUUGGGCUGUACCUUCCUCAGGUGUCAAAUGUGAUGUUGUACCUGAUUGUUCAAAUCUUACCUCCAUCUCAGUACAACGAGAAGGAUUUUACUAUGGUCAGUGCAGUGAGAUUCGUGGAACUAAUCAUGCCUUUACGCCUAUCGUCGUAGAAGCAGUGACUUUGAAAGAUUAUGCGGAUUGGGUAUCUAAUCAUUAA